CGGUGCAGGACAUGGACCCUGCUCCACCCUCGGCGUCGCCCACUUUGGUGGAGCCGAUAGCUGCACCAGGCAGACGGACCCCUCGAGCCGGGCCGGGGAACAGGAGGGCCCCUCGGGCUGGGCCGGGGGACAGGAGGGCCCCUCGGGCUGGGCCGGGGGGCAGGAGGGCCCCUCGGGCUGGGCCGGGGAGCAGGAGGGCCCCUCGGGCUGGGCCGGGGAGCAUGCGGGCCCCUCGGGCUGGGCCGGAAGGCAUGCGGGCCACUCGGGCUGGGCCGGAAGGCAUGCGGGCCACUCGGGCUGGGCCGGAAGGCAUGCGGGCCACUCGGGCUGGGCCGGAAGGCAUGCGGGCCACUCGGGCUGGGCCGGAAGGCAUGCGGGCCACUCGGGCUGGGCCGGAGGGCAGGAGGACCACUCGGGCUGGACCGGAGGGCAGGAGGACCACUCGGGCUGGACCGGAGGGCAGGAGGACCACUCGGGCUGA
RNAcentral lists this long non-coding RNA (481 nucleotides) under Salmo salar (Atlantic salmon). RNAcentral's name for it is "lncRNA (ENSSSAG00000086897.1)". Lineage: Eukaryota; Metazoa; Chordata; Actinopteri; Salmoniformes; Salmonidae. The record is from RNAcentral.